RNAcentral lists this small nuclear RNA (374 nucleotides) under Echinops telfairi (small Madagascar hedgehog). RNAcentral describes it as "7SK RNA (ENSETEG00000021209.1)". The stretch from base 1 to 330 matches the Rfam family "7SK RNA". Rfam says of the family: 7SK was discovered as an abundant small nuclear RNA in the mid-70s but a possible function has only recently been suggested. Two independent studies have found that 7SK RNA binds the CDK9/cyclin T complex (known as elongation factor P-TEFb). P-TEFb activates transcription by phosphorylating the C-terminal domain of RNA polymerase II. Lineage: Eukaryota; Metazoa; Chordata; Mammalia; Afrosoricida; Tenrecidae. The record is from RNAcentral.
GGAUGUGAGGGUGAUCUGGCUGUGACAUAUGUCACCCCAUUGAUCACCAGGUUUGAGUUGGCUGAUCUGGCUGGCUAGGCGGGUGUCCCCUUCCUCCCUCACCACUCCAUGUGCGUUCCUCCCGAAGCUGUGCACACAGUUGAAGAGGACGACCUUCCCCGAUAGGAGGACCUUCCUUCGGUCAAGGUUAUACGAGUAGCUGAGCUCCCCUGCUAGAACCUCCAAACAAGUCUCAAGAAGUGAGCCCUAAAUCCAGCCAAGAGUUUUCCGAUUGUUUAGGAAAGACACAUUGCAGCUCUCAAAGCUAAAUAUUUUUGUGUGUGAAACAAUAGACAAGAACGUGACCUUCAAAAAGAUCUAUUCUGGAUGCUCAC